GCCUUCGUGGUGUAGUGGUUAGCACGCUGGGCUUGUAUUCCAGAAGUCCGGGGUUCGACUUCCAGCGAAGGCG
Molecule: transfer RNA, 73 nt
Filed under: Stegodyphus mimosarum
Lineage: Eukaryota; Metazoa; Arthropoda; Arachnida; Araneae; Eresidae
Description: tRNA-Thr for anticodon UGU
Rfam family: tRNA
About the family: Transfer RNA (tRNA) molecules are approximately 80 nucleotides in length.
Source: Rfam by way of RNAcentral